UGCGUAGGCGGAAUGAUAAGUUAGUGGUGAAAGCCCCCGGCUCAACCGGGGAACUGCCGUUAAUACUGUCAUUCUUGAGUAUAGUUGAAGUGGGCGGAAUGUAUCAUGUAGCGGUGAAAUGCUUAGAUAUGAUACAGAACACCGAUAGCGUAGGCAGCUUGCUAAACUAUAACUGACGCUCAGGCACGAAAGCGUGGGGAGCAAACAGGAUUAGAUACCCUGGUAGUCC
RNAcentral lists this ribosomal RNA (229 nucleotides) under uncultured bacterium. Its description in RNAcentral is "partial 16S ribosomal RNA". It matches the Rfam family "Bacterial small subunit ribosomal RNA", at positions 568 to 796 of the family's 1533-position model. The record is from RNAcentral.